AUACGGAGGGGGCUAGCGUUGUUCGGAAUUACUGGGCGUAAAGCGCGCGUAGGCGGUAUAUCUAGUUAGGCGUGAAAGCCCUGGGCUCAACCCAGGAACUGCGUUUAAUACUGAUGAACUAGAGUCCGGGAGAGGGUAGUGGAAUUCCCAGUGUAGAGGUGAAAUUCGUAGAUAUUGAGAAGAACACCAGUUGCGAAGGCGGCUACCUGGCCCGGUACUGACGCUGAGGUGCGAAAGCGUGGGGAGCAAACAGGAUUAGAAACCCCUGUAGUCC
This 274-nucleotide ribosomal RNA is filed under the name uncultured bacterium. Its description in RNAcentral is "partial 16S ribosomal RNA". It matches the Rfam family "Bacterial small subunit ribosomal RNA", at positions 523 to 796 of the family's 1533-position model. The record is from RNAcentral.